GUCUACGGCCAUACCACCCUGAACGCGCCCGAUCUCAUCUGAUCUCGGAAGCUAAGCAGGGUCGGGCCUGGUUAGUACUUGGAUGGGAGAAAUUAUAACAAAUCUUAUUGGUAUUUAAU
This 119-nucleotide ribosomal RNA is filed under the name Felis catus (domestic cat). The record is from RNAcentral. Lineage: Eukaryota; Metazoa; Chordata; Mammalia; Carnivora; Felidae.